AGCAGCCGCGGUAAUUCCAGCUCCAAUAGCGUAUAUUAAAGUUGUUGCAGUUAAAAAGCUCGUAGUUGAAUUUUGGAUUCUGCCAAUUGGUCCAUCUUUUAGAUGAGUACUGGUUGUGUGGGGUCUAUCCGCCUGGUGAUACGUAAUGUCCUUUAUUGGAUGUUGCGGGUAGUCAGGACCUUUACCUUGAAAAAUUAGAGUGUUUAAAGCAGGCUUAUGCCGGAAUACAUUAGCAUGGAAUAAUAGAAUAGGACGAAGUUGUUUUAUUUUGUUGGUUUCUAGGACAACCGUAAUGAUUAAUAGGGAUAGUUGGGGGCAUUAGUAUUCAAUUGUCAGAGGUGAAAUUCUUGGAUUUAUUGAAGACUAACUACUGCGAAAGCAUUUGCCAAGGAUGUUUUCAUUAAUCAAGAACGAAAGUUAGGGGAUCGAAGACGAUCAGAUACCGUCGUAGUCUUAACCAUAAACUAUGCCGACU
This 475-nucleotide ribosomal RNA is filed under the name uncultured Archaeospora. RNAcentral's name for it is "SSU rRNA". It matches the Rfam family "Eukaryotic small subunit ribosomal RNA", at positions 569 to 1047 of the family's 1831-position model. Lineage: Eukaryota; Fungi; Glomeromycota; Glomeromycetes; Archaeosporales; Archaeosporaceae. The record is from RNAcentral.